RNAcentral lists this unclassified non-coding RNA (344 nucleotides) under uncultured Coprinellus. Its description in RNAcentral is "partial contains 5.8S ribosomal RNA, internal transcribed spacer 2, and large subunit ribosomal RNA". The stretch from base 1 to 102 matches the Rfam family "5.8S ribosomal RNA", at positions 53 to 154 of the family's 154-position model. Lineage: Eukaryota; Fungi; Basidiomycota; Agaricomycetes; Agaricales; Psathyrellaceae. The record is from RNAcentral.
AUGCGAUAAGUAAUGUGAAUUGCAGAAUUCAGUGAAUCAUCGAAUCUUUGAACGCACCUUGCGCUCCUUGGUAUUCCGAGGAGCAUGCCUGUUUGAGUGUCAUUAAAUUCUCAACCUCACCAGUUUUGUUAUGAGACUGUGUAAGGCUUGGAUGUGGGGGUUUUUGCAGGCUGCCUCUGUGCGGUCUGCUCCCCUGAAAUGCAUUAGCGAGUUCACUAAGCUCCGUCUAUUGGUGUGAUAAUUAUCUACGCCGUGGAAUGGGUUUAGACUUGCUUCUAACCGUCUGCAAAGACAACUUUUGACAAUUUGACCUCAAAUCAGGUAGGACUACCCGCUGAACUUAA